Molecule: ribosomal RNA, 407 nt
Filed under: uncultured bacterium
Lineage: Bacteria
Description: partial 16S ribosomal RNA
Rfam family: Bacterial small subunit ribosomal RNA
Source: RNAcentral
GACGAACGCUGGCGGCGUGCCUAAUACAUGCAAGUAGGACGCAGUUGCGAACGGGUGAGUAACGCGUAGGUAACUGCCUAUUAGAGGGGGAUAACUAUUGGAAACGAUAGCUAAUACCGCAUACUAGUAGAUGGACCUGCGUUGUAUUAGCUAGUAGGUAGGGUAAUAGCCUACCUAGGAGACGAUACAUAGCCGACCUGGGAGGGUGGUCGGCCACACUGGGACUGAGACACGGCCCAGACUCCUACGGGAUGCAGCAGUAGGGAAUUCUCGGCAAUGGGGGGAACGCUGACCGAGCAACGCCGCGUGAGUGAAGAAGGUGUUCGGAUCGUAAAGCUCUGUUGUUAAGGAAGCGGUACUUAACCAGAAAGGGACGGCUAACUACGUGCCAGCAGCCGCGGUAAUUC